RNAcentral lists this ribosomal RNA (349 nucleotides) under uncultured soil bacterium. Its description in RNAcentral is "bacterial SSU rRNA". It matches the Rfam family "Bacterial small subunit ribosomal RNA", at positions 26 to 401 of the family's 1533-position model. The record is from RNAcentral.
AGAACGAACGCUGGCGGCAUGCCUAAUACAUGCAAGUCGAACGAACUCUUCGGAGUUAGUGGCGCACGGGUGCGUAACGCGUGGGAAUCUGCCCCUUGGUUCGGAAUAACAGUUGGAAACGACUGCUAAUACCGGAUGAUGACGAAAGUCCAAAGAUUUAUCGCCAAGGGAUGAGCCCGCGUAGGAUUAGCUAGUUGGUGAGGUAAAGGCUCACCAAGGCAACGAUCCUUAGCUGGUCUGAGAGGAUGAUCAGCCACACUGGGACUGAGACACGGCCCAGACUCCUACGGGAGCAGCAGUAGGGAUAUUGGACAAGUGGGCGAAAGCCUAGAUCCAGCAAUCGACCGCG